Molecule: ribosomal RNA, 465 nt
Filed under: Vreelandella stevensii
Lineage: Bacteria; Pseudomonadati; Pseudomonadota; Gammaproteobacteria; Oceanospirillales; Halomonadaceae
Description: partial 16S ribosomal RNA
Rfam family: Bacterial small subunit ribosomal RNA
Source: RNAcentral
CCUACGGGCGGCAGCAGUGGGGAAUAUUGGACAAUGGGGGCAACCCUGAUCCAGCCAUGCCGCGUGUGUGAAGAAGGCCCUCGGGUUGUAAAGCACUUUCAGUGAGGAAGAACGCCUGGUGGUUAAUACCCAUCAGGAAAGACAUCACUCACAGAAGAAGCACCGGCUAACUCCGUGCCAGCAGCCGCGGUAAUACGGAGGGUGCGAGCGUUAAUCGGAAUUACUGGGCGUAAAGCGCGCGUAGGUGGCUUGAUAAGCCGGUUGUGAAAGCCCCGGGCUCAACCUGGGAACGGCAUCCGGAACUGUCAAGCUAGAGUGCAGGAGAGGAAGGUAGAAUUCCCGGUGUAGCGGUGAAAUGCGUAGAGAUCGGGAGGAAUACCAGUGGCGAAGGCGGCCUUCUGGCCUGACACUGACACUGAGGUGCGAAAGCGUGGGUAGCAAACAGGAUUAGAUACCCCGGUAGUC